UGCCUCAGUAACGGCGAGUGAAGCGGCAACAGCUCAAAUUUGAAAUCUGGCCCUAGGCCCGAGUUGUAAUUUGCAGAGGAUGCUUUUGGCAAGGUGCCUUCCGAGUUCCCUGGAACGGGACGCCAUAGAGGGUGAGAGCCCCGUCUGGUCGGACACCGAGCCUCUGUAAAGCUCCUUCGACGAGUCGAGUAGUUUGGGAAUGCUGCUCAAAAUGGGAGGUAUAUGUCUUCUAAAGCUAAAUACCGGCCAGAGACCGAUAGCGCACAAGUAGAGUGAUCGAAAGAUGAAAAGCACUUUGAAAAGAGAGUUAAAUAGCACGUGAAAUUGUUGAAAGGGAAGCGUUUAUGACCAGACUUGGCCCGGUUGAUCAUCCACCCUUCUGGGUGGUGCACUCUGCCGGUCCAGGCCAGCAUCAGUUCGCUCCGGGGGAUAAAGGUUUCGGGAAUGUAGCUCCUCCGGGAGUGUUAUAGCCCGUUGCGUAAUACCCUGGGGUGGACUGAGGUCCGCGCUCUGCA
This 515-nucleotide ribosomal RNA is filed under the name Albifimbria terrestris. RNAcentral describes it as "partial large subunit ribosomal RNA". It matches the Rfam family "Eukaryotic large subunit ribosomal RNA", at positions 76 to 604 of the family's 3401-position model. Lineage: Eukaryota; Fungi; Ascomycota; Sordariomycetes; Hypocreales; Stachybotryaceae. The record is from RNAcentral.